RNAcentral lists this transfer RNA (76 nucleotides) under Rhodoferax sp. RNAcentral describes it as "tRNA-Thr". It matches the Rfam family "tRNA". Rfam says of the family: Transfer RNA (tRNA) molecules are approximately 80 nucleotides in length. Their secondary structure includes four short double-helical elements and three loops (D, anti-codon, and T loops). Lineage: Bacteria; Pseudomonadati; Pseudomonadota; Betaproteobacteria; Burkholderiales; Comamonadaceae. RNAcentral also lists the same sequence under 4 other names. The record is from RNAcentral.
GCCGAUUUAGCUCAGUUGGUAGAGCACCCGCCUUGUAAGCGGAAGGUCGUCAGUUCGACUCCGACAAUCGGCACCA